GCCCUUAAUUCAUUACUGAAACUUCUGAAAUUUUGUCCCCAAAUGCCUAAAUACAGAUGUGCUUUUCUUGUGCUCUCAGACAGUCAUGGACAUAUUGACCCCUCUCUGCGACCCGUCUGGGAACUAGCUUUUCUCGGCAGCUCUUACGUGAUGUGGGAGAAGACAACGCGGUUUUUGCACUACUACAUGGCACAGCUGAGCGGCGUGAAGCAGUGGGAAACAAACGAUGGUGCGAUUGAUUUUGAUUAUACUGUUCUACUCCAUGAAUUCUCAACGCAGGAAAUCAUUCCCUGUCGUAUUCACUUGGUCUGGUCCCCUGGCAAACCACUUACAGUGAAGUACCACUGUCAAGAGCUGCUGGCACCAGAAGACGCCUCUGGAACUGAAGAAGGAUCAGCUGUGGCACCAACAGAGCUUAGUAAUUUCUGAAAAGAAAAGAAAGAUCUGUUUAUACCAAGUUCUACACAAAAUGACCAUACCGAAUAGCCUGAAUCAUUAUUCUAGUAAAAUAGCUAAGGCAUAGGCUUUUUGAUAAUUUGGGAAAGACUGUGAUUUCAAGUAAAUACUCAAAAAUUAAAAGAUGUUGGGAUUUUUGUUUUUCAGUGGGUUUCGCUUCGUUUUAGCUCUGGGUGCACGUGCAUACUCAAUCCUGUUCUUAACAGUCACCCCACAGGCUCCUCAGGGUUGCGGUCCUAAA
Molecule: non-coding RNA, 697 nt
Organism: Equus caballus (horse)
Lineage: Eukaryota; Metazoa; Chordata; Mammalia; Perissodactyla; Equidae
Source: RefSeq, a predicted model, not a curated record